UACGGAAGGGGCGAGCGUUGUUCGGAAUCAUUGGGCGUAAAGGGCGCGUAGGUGGUCUUGUAUGUCUACCGUGAAAGCGUACGGCUCAACCGUAUUUUGUCGGUAGAAACUGCAGGACUUGAGGCUGGGAGGGGCUGGCGGAAUUCCCUGUGUAGCGGUGAAAUGCGUAGAUAUCGGAAGGAACAUCAGUGGCGAAAGCGACUUCCUGGACCAGUACCGACGUUCAGGCACGAAAGCGUGGGGAGCAAACAGG
Molecule: ribosomal RNA, 253 nt
Filed under: uncultured bacterium
Lineage: Bacteria
Description: partial 16S ribosomal RNA
Rfam family: Bacterial small subunit ribosomal RNA
Source: RNAcentral